This 545-nucleotide ribosomal RNA is filed under the name uncultured bacterium. RNAcentral describes it as "bacterial SSU rRNA". It matches the Rfam family "Bacterial small subunit ribosomal RNA", at positions 355 to 894 of the family's 1533-position model. The record is from RNAcentral.
UGGGGAAUAUUGCGCAAUGGGGGGAACCCUGACGCAGCCAUGCCGCGUGAAUGAAGAAGGCCUUAGGGUUGUAAAGUUCUUUCGGUAUUGAGGAAGGUUGAUGUGAUAAUAGCACAUCAAAUUGACGUUAAAUACAGAAGAAGCACCGGCUAACUCCGUGCCAGCAGCCGCGGUAAUACGGAGGGUGCGAGCGUUAAUCGGAAUAACUGGGCGUAAAGGGCACGCAGGCGGUUAUUUAAGUGAGGUGUGAAAGCCCUGGGCUUAACCUGGGAAUUGCAUUUCAGACUGGGUAACUAGAGUACUUUAGGGAGGGGUAGAAUUCCACGUGUAGCGGUGAAAUGCGUAGAGAUGUGGAGGAAUACCGAAGGCGAAGGCAGCCCCUUGGGAAUGUACUGACGCUCAUGUGCGAAAGCGUGGGGAGCAAACAGGAUUAGAUACCCUGGUAGUCCACGCUGUAAACGCUGUCGAUUUGGGGGUUGGGGUUUAACUCUGGCGCCCGUAGCUNACGUGAUAAAUCGACCGCCUGGGGAGUACGGCCGCAAGGU